This 486-nucleotide ribosomal RNA is filed under the name uncultured bacterium. Its description in RNAcentral is "partial 16S ribosomal RNA". It matches the Rfam family "Bacterial small subunit ribosomal RNA", at positions 30 to 507 of the family's 1533-position model. The record is from RNAcentral.
AUUGAACGCUGGCGGCAUGCCUUACACAUGCAAGUCGAACGGCAGCACGGGUGCUUGCACCUGGUGGCGAGUGGCGAACGGGUGAGUAAUACAUCGGAACAUGUCCUGUAGUGGGGGAUAGCCCGGCGAAAGCCGGAUUAAUACCGCAUACGAUCCACGGAUGAAAGCGGGGGACCUUCGGGCCUCGCGCUAUAGGGUUGGCCGAUGGCUGAUUAGCUAGUUGGUGGGGUAAAGGCCUACCAAGGCGACGAUCAGUAGCUGGUCUGAGAGGACGACCAGCCACACUGGGACUGAGACACGGCCCAGACUCCUACGGGAGGCAGCAGUGGGGAAUUUUGGACAAUGGGCGAGAGCCUGAUCCAGCAAUGCCGCGUGUGUGAAGAAGGCCUUCGGGUUGUAAAGCACUUUUGUCCGGAAAGAAAUCCUUGGCUCUAAUACAGUCGGGGGAUGACGGUACCGGAAGAAUAAGCACCGGCUAACUACGUG